CCUACGGGGGGCUGCAGUGGGGAAUAUUGCACAAUGGGCGCAAGCCUGAUGCAGCCAUGCCGCGUGUGUGAAGAAGGCCUUCGGGUUGUAAAGCACUUUCAGCGGGGAGGAAGGCGGUGAGGUUAAUAACCUCAUCGAUUGACGUUACCCGCAGAAGAAGCACCGGCUAACUCCGUGCCAGCAGCCGCGGUAAUACGGAGGGUGCAAGCGUUAAUCGGAAUUACUGGGCGUAAAGCGCACGCAGGCGGUCUGUCAAGUCGGAUGUGAAAUCCCCGGGCUCAACCUGGGAACUGCAUUCGAAACUGGCAGGCUAGAGUCUUGUAGAGGGGGGUAGAAUUCCAGGUGUAGCGGUGAAAUGCGUAGAGAUCUGGAGGAAUACCGGUGGCGAAGGCGGCCCCCUAGACAAAGACUGACGCUCAGGUGCGAAAGCGUGGGGAGCAAACAGGAUUAGAUACCCGGGUAGUC
This 465-nucleotide ribosomal RNA is filed under the name uncultured Klebsiella sp. RNAcentral describes it as "bacterial SSU rRNA". It matches the Rfam family "Bacterial small subunit ribosomal RNA", at positions 338 to 795 of the family's 1533-position model. The record is from RNAcentral. Lineage: Bacteria; Pseudomonadati; Pseudomonadota; Gammaproteobacteria; Enterobacterales; Enterobacteriaceae.